Molecule: ribosomal RNA, 274 nt
Filed under: uncultured bacterium
Lineage: Bacteria
Description: partial 16S ribosomal RNA
Rfam family: Bacterial small subunit ribosomal RNA
Source: RNAcentral
AUACAGAAGCCUCGAGCGUUACCCGGAUUUACUGGGCGUAAAGGGUGCGUAGGCGGUUAUAUUAGUCGGAUGUUAAAUCCUGAGGCUCAACCUCAGGCUCGCAUUCGAAACGGUAUAACUAGAAGAUGUGAGAGGUGAACAGAACUCAUGGUGUAGGGGUGAAAUCCGUUGAUAUCAUGGGGAAUACCAAAUGCGAAGGCAGUUCACUGGCACAUUCUUGACGCUGAGGCACGAAAGCGUGGGUAGCGAACGGGAUUAGAAACCCCAGUAGUCC